AUGUUUGACGGAGUUGAGCGGAUGCUUCGGGGAGUCAGGCAUGUGCCAGGGCUAAGGAGGAAUCUAAUUUCGCUUGGAGUUCUUCAUGAUGGUGGUAUGGUAUUCCGUUGUGAUCGGGAUAAGAAGACCAUGAGAAUCAUGGAAGAUGAGGUGACCGUGAUGAUUGGAGCGAGGACGGCUUCGCAUCUUUACAAGUUGCAAGGGAGCACUAUUGCAGGUGGAGUCACUGAGACUGGAGUUGCGGGAGUAGCAGCGGGGUCACACGGCGGCGGCGGGUCUGGGGCAGACUCGUCGAGUAGCUCUCAGUAA
RNAcentral lists this ribosomal RNA (309 nucleotides) under Triticum aestivum (bread wheat). Its description in RNAcentral is "partial small subunit ribosomal RNA". Lineage: Eukaryota; Viridiplantae; Streptophyta; Magnoliopsida; Poales; Poaceae. The record is from RNAcentral.